This 1476-nucleotide ribosomal RNA is filed under the name Triticum aestivum (bread wheat). Its description in RNAcentral is "partial small subunit ribosomal RNA". Lineage: Eukaryota; Viridiplantae; Streptophyta; Magnoliopsida; Poales; Poaceae. The record is from RNAcentral.
AUGGAGAAGGCGGCACCGACCGCCGUGGCAAGAAAGCGCGAAUCCGAUGGGAUCGCUGGCAGCUGGCCAAGGAAUCGGGCACGCGGUGGCAACUACGAUGGCAACUGGGUUGCCGAGGAUCCCAUCAGCCGCCUCCCCGACGCCAUCCUCGGUACCAUCAUCUCCCUUCUCCCCACCAAGGACGGCGCACGCACGCAGGCCCUCUCCCGCCGAUGGCACCACCUUUGGUGCUCCCCUCCCCUCCACCUUCAGGCUAAUAGCAGCCUCUUUAGCAGCCUUCGCUGGCGCCCCACCAUCAUCAACAGGAUCCUCUCCGACCACCCUGGCCCCGCCCGUCGCUUCCACUUCCCAUUCAUCCAGUUCACACCCGGCGACAUAGACAGCCGACGCACUGAGCUCGACGGCUGGUGCCAAUCCCGAGCCCUUGACGGACUCCAGGAGCUCAAUAUCUACUACGGGAGAUGGUCGAGAGAACCGCCUCAUAUUAGUUUCCUGCUGCCGACAUCUGCGCUCCGCUUUGCACCCACCCUCCUCGUGCUCAAAAUCGGCUCCUGCAAUUUCCCCAGCGAGAUCUCACCAUCGUUGAGUUUCCCCCUCCUCAAGCAGCUCAUCCUACGGUGCGUUUCCAUCUCAGAGGAUGUAUUCGACCAGGUGCUCUCUGGAUGCCGUGCCUUGGAGAGCCUUCAGUUGUGGGACAUUCUUACUGCGCGUCGCCUCCACAUUCGCUCACUAACUCUUAGGAGCAUUGGCUCCCGUGCUCGUAGUGCUUGCACACAAGAACUAGUCAUUGAGGAUGCUCCCUGCCUCGAAAGAUUUGUGUCACUUUAUCCUCCGGACAUAAGUUUUGAGACUAUCCGCGUAAUUGGUGCACCUAAACUGAAGAUAUUGGGCCUUUUUUCACCAUGUGUAUCCACACUCCAGAUUGCAACUCUAGUCGUCAAGGGAAUGUCCCCAGUCAGCUUGGCAAACUCAAUAUGCACUGUGAAGGUUCUGGCUCUCUACUCUUCUGGCUCUCAGUUGAAUGCAGUUCUAAACAUCCUCAGGUGCUUUCCCCGCUUGGAAAAGCUCUAUUUCACUUUGAAGAAACACCCAAAGAUGGAUAUGAAAAAUGUGCACCUGUGUGACCCACUAGAUCCAAUCGAAUGCCUCGCGAUCCAUCUAAAAAAAUUGGUGUUUGAAAAUUACAAAGGCCGUCACCAAGAUGCUGACUUUGCCAAAUUCUUUAUUUUGACUGCAAAAGUGCUGAAGGAAAUCAAAAUUUCAAGCCCUAAGGGCAACGAUAUUAAAUGGGUGGACGAUCAACACAAGCUGCUACAAGUGGAAGAUAGAGCUUCUCGAGAUGCUGAACCUGAAUUCAGAAGUGAGUUUAGCUGUUUGGGUAAAACCAAACAGAUUCAUGAUUUAUUGGAUGAUCCCUUCGACUGCUCGUGUUGUAGAAUUAAAUGCAAUGUUCUUUCAGGUGAAUCAUGUCCAUGA